This 422-nucleotide ribosomal RNA is filed under the name uncultured bacterium. RNAcentral describes it as "partial 16S ribosomal RNA". It matches the Rfam family "Bacterial small subunit ribosomal RNA", at positions 360 to 774 of the family's 1533-position model. The record is from RNAcentral.
AAUAUUGGACAUUGGGGGCAACCCUGAUCCAGCCAUGCCGCGUGUGUAAAGAAGGUCUUCGGAUUGUAAUGCACUUUAAGUUGGGAGGAAGGGCUUUAGGCUAAUACCCUGUAGUUUUGACGUUACCUACAGAAUAAGCACCGGCUAACUCUGUGCCAGCAGCCGCGGUAAUACAGAGGGUGCAAGCGUUAAUCGGAAUUACUGGGCGUAAAGCGCGCGUAGGUGGUUCAGUAAGAUUGAUGUGAAAGCCCCGGGCUUAACCGGGGAACUGCUUUCAUAACUGCUGAGCUAGAGUACGGGAGAGGGUAGUGGAAUUUCCUGUGUAGCGGUGAAAUGCGUAGAUAUAGGAAGGAACACCAGUGGCGAAGGCGACUACCUGGACUGAUACUGACACUGAGGUGCGAAAGCGUGGGGAGCAAACA